UACAGAGGCCCCAAGCGUUACUGAGAAUCACUGGGUUUAAAGGGUGCGUAGGAGGCGCGUUAAGUCCGUUGUGAAAGCCCUGGGCUCAACCCAGGAACUGCUUCGGAUACUGGCGCGCUUGAGGCUAGUAGGGGUCACUGGAACUGACGGUGGAGCGGUGAAAUGCGUAGAUAUCGUCAGGAACGCCAAUGGUGAAGACAGGUGACUGGGCUAGUUCUGACACUGAGGCACGAAAGCGUGGGGAGCGAACGGG
This 253-nucleotide ribosomal RNA is filed under the name uncultured bacterium. Its description in RNAcentral is "partial 16S ribosomal RNA". It matches the Rfam family "Bacterial small subunit ribosomal RNA", at positions 524 to 776 of the family's 1533-position model. The record is from RNAcentral.